This 372-nucleotide ribosomal RNA is filed under the name uncultured organism. Its description in RNAcentral is "bacterial SSU rRNA". It matches the Rfam family "Bacterial small subunit ribosomal RNA", at positions 526 to 896 of the family's 1533-position model. The record is from RNAcentral.
CGUAGGUGGCAAGCGUUGUCCGGAUUUACUGGGCGUAAAGAGCGCGCAGGCGGUCGUUCAAGUCGCGUGUGAAAGCCCCCGGCUCAACUGGGGAGGGUCACGCGAUACUGAUCGACUCGAAGGCAGGAGAGGGUAGUGGAAUUCCCGGUGUAGUGGUGAAAUGCGUAGAUAUCGGGAGGAACACCAGUGGCGAAGGCGAUUACCUGGCCUGUUCUUGACGCUGAGGCGCGAAAGCUAGGGGAGCAAACGGGAUUAGAUACCCCGGUAGUCCUAGCCGUAAACGAUGGACACUAGGUGUUGGUGGUAUCAACCCCGCCAGUGCCGAAGCUAACGCAUUAAGUGUCCCGCCUGGGGAGUACGGCCGCAAGGCUA